This 204-nucleotide ribosomal RNA is filed under the name Paenibacillus etheri. Its description in RNAcentral is "partial 23S ribosomal RNA". It matches the Rfam family "Bacterial large subunit ribosomal RNA", at positions 2628 to 2838 of the family's 2925-position model. Lineage: Bacteria; Bacillati; Bacillota; Bacilli; Caryophanales; Paenibacillaceae. The record is from RNAcentral.
AGUUCGGUCCCUAUCUGUCGUGGGCGCAGGAAAUUUGAGAGGAGCUGUCCUUAGUACGAGAGGACCGGGAUGGACGUACCGCUGGUGCACCAGUUGUUUCGCCAGAAGCAUGGCUGGGUAGCUACGUACGGACGGGAUAAGCGCUGAAAGCAUCUAAGCGUGAAGCCCCCCUCAAGAUGAGAUUUCCCAAUUAGUAAGACCCCU